Molecule: small nucleolar RNA, 108 nt
Organism: Lathyrus oleraceus (garden pea)
Lineage: Eukaryota; Viridiplantae; Streptophyta; Magnoliopsida; Fabales; Fabaceae
Source: RefSeq, a predicted model, not a curated record
AACCCAUGAAAUGGGCAAAGUAUCUACAAAUCCUUAUAACGCUCCCAUGCGUCAAAAGGGGAUUUUCCAUCUUCCUGCCUAAAAAUGUUUAUUUUUCCCCCUUACCUU